Long non-coding RNA from Salarias fasciatus (jewelled blenny), 327 nucleotides. RefSeq lists it as uncharacterized. Lineage: Eukaryota; Metazoa; Chordata; Actinopteri; Blenniiformes; Blenniidae. The record is from RefSeq and is a predicted model, not a curated record. The transcript is spliced from 3 exons.
AAUCCCGCCAGGGGGAGCUGUGUAUAAAAGAGGGCCAUUCUCACUGGUGCAGCCUCUGCCGCUGAGUCUGGAGUAGACCCCGCCCCUGGGCUUUCUCACUUCCUGGUGUGAGCCGUGCGAGCUGUGCUUACCUGUUGGGCUGCGUUUGGGGAUCAAUUCCCCCUUCAUCUGGGUGUCAACUUGCUGCUAGAUGAGUGGCUGUAGGGAGGUUGCAGACUCCCCACCUCUCCUACUGGGCGUGUCAGUUAAAUGUUUGUUUGCCAGGAGCGGCUAAUCUGCCGUGGAGCCCGCCAGCUGUUUUGUCCUUCUGGGUGGCUUCGAAGUCCA